ACAGAGAAACCCGUCUCAAAAAAAGGGGGGGGGGACUGCAACCUCAGCAAGAGACUCUUUUUUUCAUGCAAAAUUGGACAAAACAGUGCCAGAGGAGUUUAUGUGACUAAACUGCAUAUUUAAGCAAUUACAAAUUGUAUCCUAUUUUUCUAGAGUUUGCCCCCGCUCCGGAGUGACAAGCCUGCUUACUAGCAAUUCCUGGUUGCCAGGAUAUGCUUGACAUGAUGAUGGUUUUGUACCGCUGCUGUCGGUGGGAAUGCCGCUACAUGCCAUGGUUGCUGUUAACUAGCUAGAUUACAAAAGAACCUCAGUCAGUUCUCUGUAUCCACAGGUUUGCUGCUGGGAGUGAGGAGAGUGAAGUCUGAGGAGUUCAGGACUGGGUCAGCGCUGCUCUGACAGCCUGGUGAAGGAGCACUUGCUGUCUCAGACCUCGCUUCUGUUGGCAGUUCUAGAGUGCACUCAGGAGCCAGGCGUGAAUAGAGCAAUUGGCUAUGCCUAGAACUCCAUUGACUCCGGCAGACCCUUGCUGUGAGUCACCUUGUGACAGUGAGGCAAAUCAUGACCGGGAUGAUUGAGUAGCUGUUAUUAAUACAAUCUUUAUUCUUAUUAAUAAGCAGCCUGUAUGCAUAGCACUUACAAGGGGCCGAACCCUGACAUAAAUAAACACCUGUAACUGAACUGUGGCUACCUAUGCUUGACAACUCAGCUCAGUGGAGAAGAAACUUAUCUCGGUAUAAUCCAGCCAGUCAUUGGUAGAACCUGGGCUCACAUGUGUGUCACACCACGGCCUAAGUUCUUAAUCAUAUCCACAAGUCAGUCCCUGGCCUACAAAAGUAAGGCCAGGAAAUAACCUAACUGUCCUAGUUAGUUUUUUAUCUUGACAUAAGCUAGAGAGUCAGCUGAGGAAUUGCUUAGACAUUGUUGGUCUGCGAGCACGUCUGUGGGAGAUUGUCUUGAUUGUUAAUUGAAUAGGGAGGGCCCAGCCCACUGUGGGAGGCACCAUUCCCUGGGCAGGUGAGCCUGUGCUGGAGAAGAGAGCUGGAUAAGCAUGAGUCCAGCAGCAUACCUUCAUGGUUUCUGCUUGAGUGGCUGCCCUGACUUCCUUGAGACGGACUGUUACCUGAAAGGGAAGCUGAAUCAAACCCUUCCUUCUCCGGCUUGCUUUCGGUCACUGCCACAGCAACAGAUACCAGAUAAGAACACCAGCAAUGGUAGUUCAAGGAUGUUUGCCAAUUAAAUUCACGGGGAAGCAGAUCUACAACUCCCGUGGAAUGUCCAGUGUCCAGAAGGAAGAAGCAGAGACUGGGGUGCUAAUUGCUCAAACACUGAGAUGCCAGCCAUCCUAAUGAGAAGACUAAAGCUUUGCAGAAUGAUAGGUGGCGGAAAACAAACAGCCAGUGUUCCUCAUGCCGAGCCGUUAACCACCUAGACAUGAAUCUUAGGGUACGUUCCCCUAAGCUGACAGAAAGGAAAUAGAUGGGUCCCCUGCUAUAUCAAAGAUGUGGAGACAGAUGAGAAUAAUCAACUUGUAAAAUCAGCCAUUAAAUAAUUUUCUACUCAUUCGAACAGACACUAAAGAAAACCAAGUAGUAA
Molecule: long non-coding RNA, 1593 nt
Organism: Mesocricetus auratus (golden hamster)
Lineage: Eukaryota; Metazoa; Chordata; Mammalia; Rodentia; Cricetidae
Exons: 2
Source: RefSeq, a predicted model, not a curated record